Sus scrofa (pig) is the source of this 3799-nucleotide non-coding RNA. The record is from RefSeq and is a predicted model, not a curated record. Lineage: Eukaryota; Metazoa; Chordata; Mammalia; Artiodactyla; Suidae.
CUGAGAUUAUACAGUGUGUGUGCGUGUGUAUAUACACAUAUCUAUACACAUGUAUAGGUAUAUACACAUAUGUAUAUGUGUGUGUGCAUACAUAAAUAUAUAUAUGUAGAGAGAGAGAGGGAAUCCAUGACAUUUGCACGUUUUGGAAUAUUACUGAAGCUGAAUCGCAAGCCCAAGCCCUGUCUUCCUCAGCUGUGAGACAGGAAAACAAUAGAUUCUACCUGAUUCUGUUUCGAGCAGCUAUUAGAAGGGGAAUAAAGGGAGAUGUGAACGGGCUCUGCAACCUUCAAGUGAAGCUUGAAAGGGAGGAAUGGUGGUUAUGAGGAGGAGGAGGGUUCAUGCAGCAUAAAAGAAAAGCCACACAGGCUGCUGGCCCCAAAGGCUACAGCAGCGACAGGAAGGAGGUGGCUGGGCUUCCCCUUCCGCCUUGUUGGUUCCAGCCCAGAAACUCCACCCUGGCUGGAGAGCGAAGAUUGGGCCUUGCUGAAAGGCGCCUCAGCCAUUCUCUUUUUUGUCGGACACGAAAUGGACUCUCUGCUUCGUAAAUGCAGUUCUUUUUCCUCUCUCCCAGCUCAUUUGUGCUUUGGUGUCUCUGUAUCGUUAUUUGUUAGGAAGUCACCUGACAGAUAAGAUUCACCAACGCCAAGGACUGUCCUAAGACUGCCUGGAGUAACUCAUUUCUCCUCCAGUAACCCUAGGAGAUAGUUUUUCAUUAUCUCCAUUGUACAGAGGAGGAAGCUGAUGCAUAGAGGGGCUAAGUCAUUUGCACCGUCUUGAGUGGUGGAUCUAAGAUUCGAACCCUAGCCGUCUGGCUGCAGGCUGUUGGUGCUCUUGGCCGCUCAACUAGAAUUCCUUUCAAACUACAGCAAUUAAGGCAACUGGGGAGAACAGGCUCCAGAAAGCCCACCAUACAGCAAUCCUCUAAGCUCUCAGGCGACCACCCAAAGCAGACGAUUUGCUGAGACGGGGAUGUAGGGCCCCUAUCUGCCAGCGGAGCUCAGCCCGGAGAUGCCUUUUGGGGGCACCAGACCCGGGGAGCAAGGAGAGAAGCCCAGGGAGUCUGACUCCACAGCCUGUCCUGCGCAUUGUGAACCUAAACCAUCCUGAAAGGAGCUCGAAUGGGCAAAGGAUUUUCAGAAACAAAGGUUGAGGCAGGAUGCUGGUGUUCAUGGAGACGCCGCAGUCAGAAUGGGUUUCCACCCCAUGCUUCCGGCAAUUGGGGAAUAUGACCGUAAACACAUCAGUAUCCAGAAGCAAGUUGCCAAAGACCCUCUGUUUCAGGAAGAACGCCCAGCCCUCCGUGCUCAGGGAGCAGCUGAGAUCAUCUGGUGCCAGGUGAUGUCCGUGGCUCUGACAGUUCCUGGGAUCCAUUCCUCCGGGAGUUUGGACAGCGUCUGCUCUGAAGGUGGCCUUUCCUCUCCCAGAACAUGAUGUAAUUCUCCACUCCGAAGCCUCAAAUGGUUUGCAGAUUUUCUGGGGUGACUAUUUCCUGUGUUCUGAGGUCCCAGGCGGUGAGCGCAUCCUGCCCGAGAGCUGUGGACAGCGUCUACAUGGAAAGCUGCUCCUGUCGGUCAGGAGUGCUUGGUGGCAAGUAACAGAAAACAUGACGUGGACCUCGAUGGACAGGAGAAAGUGGGGUUUGCUGGCUCAUGCAACGGAGCGUCUCUGGAAAGAUUUCAGGUGAGGAUGGAUAGAGGGAUUCAACCAUGUCACAAAAAAACCCAGCUUACUUUUUCUCUCUCUUCUCUGCUUUCCAGGAUGUCAAGUUCCCUCUAAGGCUGCUUCCUUUCAAACGAGCAGGAGGACUAGCAGAAGCCGCAGGGAGCCAAGCAUGCUUCCUUGUUCAUUUCUAGCAGGAGCAGCUGUCCCAAAAUAUUAAAUGAAAGUCCUGGGCUGCUGGUUGGAUCAUCUAAGGUCAUAUGCCCAACUCUGAACCCCAUGACUGGUGUCCUUGGAGCUGGCAGAGAUCAUUUUGCUCUGAAGACUACAGACUGGCAGGAGAGCAUCACCUUCUUUCAAGGCUUCGCCUCCUCUGGUGUCGACAGCUUGUGCACCAGCACGUCUUUGAAGCCACGUUUGCAGAAGAGAGCGUGAUGAGCAGAGCCAGAGCUGAGGGCUGCCUCCCUGCUGCAGGGAUCCUCCUCAGGCCAGGACGGCUUUCAAUCACUCUACCCCUGGACCAGGAAAGCAAGCACCAUGUCUACCCCAGGACAUGGUUCCUUUCAGUUCCGACAUGACUUUUUCUGGAGUCAUUAAAAAUACCAAAUGUGGUUCAAUGCAGCAGUACAGUCAAUGGCAACUGCAUUCCUCUGGUUGCUCAAGGCGAGACCUGGGAACCCUUCUUGACUCCUUCAUUCCCUCACUCCACCCCACAUCCAAUCCAUCAUCCAACCCUGUGAGCACUACUGCAAAAUACCCCUGGAAUCUGACCCCGUCUCACUUCAUCCGCAGUGUCCGCUGGGGCUAAGUUAUCCUCAUCUUCCAUCAAAAUACUUCAAUGGUCUCCAACCCGGUCUCCUCCUACUUGCUGCUCUAUCAUCUCAUCUACAGAGAAGCCAGAGUGAUCUUUUCAAAAUAUACAUGAAAGAUGCUCGAUGAAUAUGAAAUGAGAUCAUGUACGUCAAGCCCUUAUUAUGGUUCCUGGCGGAUGACGAAUGUUCAGUCACUGCUGGCUGCUGAUUCCAGUUCGUAGCCAAGGGAGGCAGAGUUCAGUUCCACUCAGAGGAGAGCUUCCACAUUUGAGGUCCACCAGGUGGGUGCUGAGAGGCUGUGAUGGGUCUGGUUCCUUAUUUCUCACUCCCUGUGUCUCUUCCCACCUGUAGCAAGUGCCCCAUGUUCCCUGGCCCAUCUGAGCUCCCCACAGCUGCAGACAGCUUCUGGGCCAGCUGACAGCUUCCCAUCUCACGUGCUUACAGAUGUCUUCCACACCUGUCACAGGGGCUUGCUCGGCUUUUGUAUACACAACCCAUAGAUGGGGGAGGGGGUGCUUAAUGCUCCUGGGGCCAACCAUCAACCAACACAGAGGGGAGUUGUUGGGGAAACGGUCAAGAUUUUUUGACCCCCAGUGGGACAAUUCUGAAGCACGUUCAUCCACCUUGUUUCCAGAAGGUCCUAUCUGGGAUGGAGUCCCUAUUACCCUCAACAGUAAUGUGCUUUUGGGUUUCCUCUCUUCCCCGACUUACCUCCCCCGCUUCUUUAAUGGCGUCUUCUGGGAUAACUCCCCAAAACUACAUUCUCUCGAGUCCUGCUGUGGGAGACCCAUCACUACUCAACAUUUCUGAAGAAAUGGCUGCCCAGCCCAUUAGUCUGACAAAGCCCUAAAUGCCUCCCAUCGUUACACGCCAUCCCUGUGGUCUAUCAGCACCAGCUCACUGGCCCCAGACACAUCAAUGAUGGCUGAGGGGUGAGGAAUCCUUGGGUUAUCUGCAAAGACAAAGAGUUGAACGGGGAGGUACAUGUCGAUUUUAUCAUAGGGUUGCCUCUCUCCUUAUAGAAAUUGUCCCUAGGAAAUGGUACAGUGACCUACCCCUCUCACUGUCAGAUGUGAUCAAGCCCUUAGAUCUCUGCAAAGAGCUACCCCUACCUUGUGGAGACCACCAUGCUGUGAAGACACAAAGGACUCCCUGCUUUGUGGCUCAGUUUUCUUGGUGUUGUACGUGUUUGUCAAAGAGGCUGUCAUGCAGAUGGCCAAAAAGCAUGUGAAAAGAUGCUCAACAUCGCUAAUUACUGGAAACAUGCAAAUGAAAACUACAAGGAAGUAUCAUCUCACACCAGUCAGAAUGGCCAUCAUCAAAGUCUA